RNAcentral lists this ribosomal RNA (460 nucleotides) under uncultured bacterium. RNAcentral's name for it is "partial 16S ribosomal RNA". It matches the Rfam family "Bacterial small subunit ribosomal RNA", at positions 338 to 795 of the family's 1533-position model. The record is from RNAcentral.
CCUACGGGAGGCAGCAGUGAGGAAUAUUGGUCAAUGGACGAGAGUCUGAACCAGCCAAGUAGCGUGAAGGAUGACUGCCCUAUGGGUUGUAAACUUCUUUUAUAUGGGAAUAAAAUAGUGUACGCAUACCAUUUUGUAUGUACCAUAUGAAUAAGGAUCGGCUAACUCCGUGCCAGCAGCCGCGGUAAUACGGAGGAUCCGAGCGUUAUCCGGAUUUAUUGGGUUUAAAGGGAGCGUAGGUGGAUUGUUAAGUCAGUUGUGAAAGUUUGCGGCUCAACCGUAAAAUUGCAGUUGAAACUGGCAGUCUUGAGUACAGUAGAGGUGGGCGGAAUUCGUGGUGUAGCGGUGAAAUGCUUAGAUAUCACGAAGAACUCCGAUUGCGAAGGCAGCUCACUGGACUGCAACUGACACUGAUGCUCGAAAGUGUGGGUAUCAAACAGGAUUAGAUACCCGAGUAGUC